Archocentrus centrarchus (flier cichlid) is the source of this 379-nucleotide long non-coding RNA. RefSeq lists it as uncharacterized. Lineage: Eukaryota; Metazoa; Chordata; Actinopteri; Cichliformes; Cichlidae. The record is from RefSeq and is a predicted model, not a curated record. The transcript is spliced from 4 exons.
CAGUAUUGCGGUGAACUCCAAUGUGUUGCUGCCUCACGUUACGAGACGUCUUCAAAUCCACAGACGGACCUUUAACAGGGGGAGAAAAAAAAAAAAAAGCCCCGAAACAGACCCUGUUUGUGCUGUGUGAAGAAUGACCUCAUCCACUCAGGGAAGAUGUUUGGAUUGAUGGAUACAUCGACGGAGGAGCAGCUACACAUUCGCUUGAACUGAAGCGGGACCUUCUGGGAGCAGUUGGAAAGUAGCAGUCCAGAGGCGCACGAGGGGACGACCCUGAAGGAGAGAUUGAACAAAUUUAAAUGGGGGAACCCAGGAGAGCCGCUCUCCGGGGAUCAGCGGUAACUAACUGCGGUGGCGGUGGCGGCAGCAGCCCGGCAGG